GACUCCUUCUCCCUAGGCUAUAUGUUGUGGGAAAUUUAGCUUCAACAGAAUGCAUGUGUCUUUGAGAACCAAUGACAACAAAGGGAUGCGAUUAGACGAGUGAUAGAAGGAGCUGGAGAUUUCUUCACUCUAUCCUCAUCCAUCAACCUUUAUAGCUGGUUGUUACUUUUAAGCUUAGCAGAGAGGGAUCUUCAAUGGACAACCCCAAGAUACUGGGUGUCGGUGGAAGGAAAAUGAAUCAUUGGAGCAUAUAGACAUUUCGAAAGCAACUAAUGCCGAAACUGAGUUGUAGGCACUUAGGGACAAACUCUUCAUGGCUUGCAGUUAACCUAAGUAUUAGGCAUGGAGAUAGAUGCAACUAUUGAUAUUAAUUCUCUAUUUCUCUUUUGUCUCUCUCAUUGAUGAAUGUAAUUAGAUUUAUGAGAUCCAAAUUAUUAAUUAAUAAUAAAAAUAUAUAUUGAAACUAAACUUAAUUAUGAUAUAUAUAUAAUAUUGUAAAA
This 500-nucleotide long non-coding RNA is filed under the name Gossypium raimondii (Peruvian cotton). RNAcentral describes it as "long non-coding RNA (GRAI_LNC004739)". The record is from RNAcentral. Lineage: Eukaryota; Viridiplantae; Streptophyta; Magnoliopsida; Malvales; Malvaceae.